GAUGAACGCUGGCGGCGUGCCUAAUACAUGCAAGUCGAGCGAACAGAUGAGGAGCUUGCUCCUCUGACGUUAGCGGCGGACGGGUGAGUAACACGUGGAUAACCUACCUAUAAGACUGGGAUAACUUCGGGAAACCGGAGCUAAUACCGGAUAAUAUAUUGAACCGCAUGGUUCAAUAGUGAAAGACGGUUUUGCUGUCACUUAUAGAUGGAUCCGCGCCGCAUUAGCUAGUUGGUAAGGUAACGGCUUACCAAGGCAACGAUGCGUAGCCGACCUGAGAGGGUGAUCGGCCACACUGGAACUGAGACACGGUCCAGACGCCUACGGGAGGCAGCAGUAGGGAAUCUUCCGCAAUGGGCGAAAGCCUGACGGAGCAACGCCGCGGGAGUGAUGAAGGUCUUCGGAUCGUAAAACUCUGUUAUUAGGGAAGAACAAAUGUGUAAGUAACUAUGCACGUCUUGACGGUACCUAAUCAGAAAGCCACGGCUAACUACGUG
This 497-nucleotide ribosomal RNA is filed under the name uncultured bacterium. RNAcentral's name for it is "partial 16S ribosomal RNA". It matches the Rfam family "Bacterial small subunit ribosomal RNA", at positions 28 to 507 of the family's 1533-position model. The record is from RNAcentral.